CUAUUAGUGCACCAAGACAAGUGGAACAACAUGGAGAAAGGUAUCCAGUACCUGAGAGAAUUAGCUGUGCUGGAGGUACUCUAUAAGGAUACAAAGAACGAGCAGUCCCCUGUUCAUCGAGAUGAAGUCC
Molecule: long non-coding RNA, 130 nt
Organism: Neopelma chrysocephalum (saffron-crested tyrant-manakin)
Lineage: Eukaryota; Metazoa; Chordata; Aves; Passeriformes; Pipridae
Exons: 3
Source: RefSeq, a predicted model, not a curated record